GGUGAAGGAUCUUUGACACAGGCAACCUCCAUCCAGGCACGCAGUGGAAACGGACAGCUGACCAUAUAGCCCAGUGCCUUUUCUGACACACUUCUUCCUUGGGGAAGUUGAGGUUGGGGGCGGGCUGUGCACAGGGCUCCCCAGCCUCCCUAUGUGACUGCUCGCUUCCCUGCCCUCCGCCCGGUGGCCCCAUGGCCCACAGCCCACAGGGAAGCAGGUUGGUGCCACCCCUGCCUCCCCUCCGCAGCCGGCGGGCCUGUAAAUGCCUCCCUUGGGCCCCCAUGAGGCCAGUGAGCCAGAAGCCCCUCUGACCCAGAGGUCACUGUGACCAGCACAUCCUGGAGAGGAGGCCUCGCCCUUGCACCUUUCAUCUGCAAGAGUUACUUUUACAUUUAUUUUAAAUGUUGAUUUAAGUAUAUACUUCAUCUACAGUUAUCCAUAUAAAUAGAUUCAUUACAGGGCCUGGCUCUGAAUAAACACAGUAGGUUGGA
RNAcentral lists this long non-coding RNA (491 nucleotides) under Pan troglodytes (chimpanzee). RNAcentral describes it as "lincRNA". Lineage: Eukaryota; Metazoa; Chordata; Mammalia; Primates; Hominidae. The record is from RNAcentral.